GGUGACUUUUGAGGAAUGUGCUGCUGCUUUGGGAGCAGGAUGCCGCAGGUUCGAAUCCUGUCACUCGGACCA
RNAcentral lists this transfer RNA (72 nucleotides) under Caudoviricetes sp. RNAcentral's name for it is "tRNA-Pro". The record is from RNAcentral. Lineage: Duplodnaviria; Heunggongvirae; Uroviricota; Caudoviricetes.